This 481-nucleotide ribosomal RNA is filed under the name Streptococcus sp. oral taxon C65. Its description in RNAcentral is "bacterial SSU rRNA". It matches the Rfam family "Bacterial small subunit ribosomal RNA", at positions 28 to 489 of the family's 1533-position model. The record is from RNAcentral. Lineage: Bacteria; Bacillati; Bacillota; Bacilli; Lactobacillales; Streptococcaceae.
GACGAACGCUGGCGGCGUGCCUAAUACAUGCAAGUAGGACGCUGAAGAGAGGAGCUUGCUCUUCUUGGAUGAGUUGCGAACGGGUGAGUAACGCGUAGGUAACCUGCCUUGUAGCGGGGGAUAACUAUUGGAAACGAUAGCUAAUACCGCAUAACAAUGGAUGACACAUGUCAUUUAUUUGAAAGGGGCAAUUGCUCCACUACAAGAUGGACCUGCGUUGUAUUAGCUAGUAGGUGAGGUAACGGCUCACCUAGGCGACGAUACAUAGCCGACCUGAGAGGGUGAUCGGCCACACUGGGACUGAGACACGGCCCAGACUCCUACGGGAGGCAGCAGUAGGGAAUCUUCGGCAAUGGGGGCAACCCUGACCGAGCAACGCCGCGUGAGUGAAGAAGGUUUUCGUGAUCGUAAAGCUCUGUUGUAAGUCAAGAACGUGAUGUGAGAGUGGAAAGUUCACACUGUGACGGUAGCUUACCAGAAA